Molecule: ribosomal RNA, 329 nt
Filed under: uncultured bacterium
Lineage: Bacteria
Description: bacterial SSU rRNA
Rfam family: Bacterial small subunit ribosomal RNA
Source: RNAcentral
AUUGAACGCUGGCGGAAUGCUUUACACAUGCAAGUCGAACGGUAGAGGGGGCAACCCCUUGAGAGUGGCGAACGGGUGAGUAAUAUAUCGGAACGUGCCCAGUCGUGGGGGAUAACGUAGCGAAAGUUACGCUAAUACCGCAUACGAUCUACGGAUGAAAGCGGGGGACUCGCAAGAGCCUCGCGCGAUUGGAGCGGCCGAUAUCAGAUUAGGUAGUUGGUGGGGUAAAGGCUCACCAAGCCAACGAUCUGUAGCUGGUCUGAGAGGACGACCAGCCACACUGGAACUGAGACACGGUCCAGACUCCUACGGGAGGGCAGCAGUGGGGG